Molecule: long non-coding RNA, 351 nt
Organism: Apodemus sylvaticus (European woodmouse)
Lineage: Eukaryota; Metazoa; Chordata; Mammalia; Rodentia; Muridae
Exons: 2
Source: RefSeq, a predicted model, not a curated record
AGUGCUGCUGUCACCAGAGGCACGGCAGCUGCACCUGCACCUCUCCCGGGCCCAGCCCCUCACCCCAGGGGUGCUUCGGUGAUCAAACAGAUAUCCAGGGAGCCUGGAACGGGAUGAGCCGCUUUGGGAUCAAAUUCCUUGCCCACCUCGUGUAAGUUAAAUUUUUGGUCUCCGAAACACAAUGCUUUGCGGUCUCCCUGUUUAGGAGAGAGAAAACAAUGGGAGAACGAAGCUGCCAAGGUACGGGAACAAAAGCCACUCUAUUCACUCUACGCCCUGCAGAAGACGAGACAGGGCUGCUACGCUACAGGCCUUGCUCGUCCAACAGACUGAGGUUAAAAAAAAAAACAA